UAGAACACCGUUCACCUUCGUUGAUUUCAAUCUCUAACAGAUCCUGUGGAAGCUUUUUGGUUUUGGUGUUUGAAUUUCAUGUUUUGAUGUUUUUCAGUCACCAAAAUUAAUGAGGAAUGGAUUGUAUGUUUUUGAAGGGUGCAAGUGUUUUCUCACUAUGGACAAUCCUCGCUUUUCAUGAAACGACGUAGAUAUUUAUAUAUGUGACGUUUGGGUAGUUUGGACUUGCUAAAACUCUUGAAAAAUGCAAAUUAAGUUUUUCCUGGUAACACUGUCACUCGAACGAUCGUCCAGCGAAAAUCUAACGAUGGCCUUUCGCUGGAGCCAGGGCUUAGCGAGAAGCUAGCAAUGUCGAUUUUGUUUGUGCUGCUCGAGCAGUGUGUUGGAGAGAAGCAAGCAAAAAUGCAGCGGUCCUUCUUUCCUUAUCUCGAAGUUAAACCCUAACUUGCCAACUAUUUUUAUACAAAAUUGCACAUGACUCCUCAAAUUUUACACUGUUUCAAUUUGAUCUUUUUUGUUCACAAAAUUGCCAAUUGCAAUUAAACCCAACAUUCUAGAAUAUUGAAAUUGUAAUAUCA
This 578-nucleotide long non-coding RNA is filed under the name Olea europaea (common olive). RNAcentral's name for it is "long non-coding RNA (OEUR_LNC014123)". Lineage: Eukaryota; Viridiplantae; Streptophyta; Magnoliopsida; Lamiales; Oleaceae. The record is from RNAcentral.